This 961-nucleotide long non-coding RNA is filed under the name Homo sapiens (human). RNAcentral describes it as "HSALNT0319119". Lineage: Eukaryota; Metazoa; Chordata; Mammalia; Primates; Hominidae. The record is from RNAcentral.
AAAAACUUCUCUACUCCUGACUCACCAACGCACCAGAACAACUUUUAGUCCUGCAAUCAUGAAGCAUUGAUUGAACAUCUUCUACAUAUUAUCACCACCCUAGACACUACAACAACAAAGAAGUCAAUACUAGUUUCAAUUUGUGGAAAGCUGGAAAUGCGAUGAUUCCCAUGCCCUGAGUUUCUGCUCCAGACACCAGGUGGGGGCAUGGCAAUUGUGACUGGAGAGAGUGGAGGGGUCAUCUUAUCCACCACAUCAGAAGCUGAGGUUAGGAUAUUGUGGCAAGAGAUGAAAAGUGAAGUGAUGUGAGGAAACUUCAUCCUGAAUUCAACUAAAGCCCUGGAAUACUUGUUCAAAUAACCAGCUGACAACUUGGGGUUAAGCUGUCUUGAAUUUAACCUGUUUAGCUCAGCCAAUACAAUUAUGAAAUAAAAAGUUAACAGUCUACUAUUUUGUAGUCCCUGGAUAAAGAGGCCUAAAUGGUAUCCUGUAAAGUUAUGCAGAGUACUAUCUGCAUAGAUCUAGUCAAUGACCUUGGCUAGUAGCAUCAUUUGGUUUCCAGCUUUAUGUGCAUCAAUUCUUCUUUAUAUGCAGUAGUUAAUUUAAUGCACCAUAUAUCUUAUCUCUAACUCCUUGGGAAACAUUUGAAUUUAGUUAUUUUCCAUUCUACUAUUGAGAAUCUGUCUUCACAAGUCACAUAGCACUGUUACAAACACAAAUCACUUGGCGUACACAAUCCAAAUUAAGUAUACAUUUUGCCUGUGUUGCUAUUUCAUGGUAAAUUUUAUUUUCCAUUUUCUUAUUUUCAUUUUCUGUCUUUUAUUACCUUCUGAUGACACUGAAAUGCCUAAAGAAGUAGAUAAAUAUCUUGUUCUAACUUUGCUGAUUAAAAAGAAAACAGUUAAGCCUUGUACAUUUCACAGUAAUGAAGAAAGACUCACAAACAUUUUAUCAGGUCUGA